AACGAACGCUGGCGGCGUGCUUAACACAUGCAAGUCGAACGCGAAAGGGACUUCGGUCCUGAGUAGAGUGGCGCACGGGUGAGUAACGCGUAAGUAAUCUACCCCUGUAUUCGGAAUAACCCACCGAAAGGUGAGCUAAUACCGGAUACGUUUAUCUUGAUGCGAAUGAUGAUGAAGAAAGGUGGCCUCUUCAUGAAAGCUACUGUACAGGGACGAGCUUGCGUACCAUUAGCUAGUUGGUAGGGUAAUGGCCUACCAAGGCGACGAUGGUUGGCGGUUCAGAGAGGAUGAUCCGCAACACUGGAACUGGAACACGGACCAGACUCCUACGGGAGGCAGCAGUGAGGAAUAUUGCGCAAUGGGGGCAACCCUGACGCAGCGACGCCGCGUGGAUGAUGAAGGCCCUUGGGUCGUAAAAUCCUGUCAGAUGGAAAGAAAUGUAUAGCAGCUAAUAUCUGUUAUAUUUGACGGUACCAUCAAAGGAAGCACCGGCUAACUCCGUGCCAGCAGCCGCCGUAA
Molecule: ribosomal RNA, 519 nt
Filed under: uncultured bacterium
Lineage: Bacteria
Description: partial 16S ribosomal RNA
Rfam family: Bacterial small subunit ribosomal RNA
Source: RNAcentral